AUCUAGCUGACGAGUUCCAAAUAGGACGAAACGUGCAUCAAACUGGAU
RNAcentral lists this non-coding RNA (48 nucleotides) under Schistosoma curassoni. The record is from RNAcentral. Lineage: Eukaryota; Metazoa; Platyhelminthes; Trematoda; Strigeidida; Schistosomatidae.